Molecule: transfer RNA, 71 nt
Filed under: Sphingobacterium psychroaquaticum
Lineage: Bacteria; Pseudomonadati; Bacteroidota; Sphingobacteriia; Sphingobacteriales; Sphingobacteriaceae
Description: Sphingobacterium sp. MOL-1 tRNA
Rfam family: tRNA
About the family: Transfer RNA (tRNA) molecules are approximately 80 nucleotides in length.
Source: Rfam by way of RNAcentral
GGUCGGAUGGCUGAGUGGUUAGGCGAGAGUACGCAAUGCUCUUUACAGUGGUUCAAAUCCAUUUCCGACCU